RNAcentral lists this long non-coding RNA (307 nucleotides) under Solanum tuberosum (potato). RNAcentral describes it as "long non-coding RNA (STUB_LNC011698)". Lineage: Eukaryota; Viridiplantae; Streptophyta; Magnoliopsida; Solanales; Solanaceae. The record is from RNAcentral.
GUUGAUCAUCGAAGCCUGGGCAAUAACGAUUAAGGAAUUUGAGCGCUGAUGUAGCUAAGACCUACCUUCAUAGUCAAUUCAUUAGGGUUGUCACCUUCUAAUAGAGGUUGAUCAUCGAAGCCUGGGCAAUAACGAUUAAGGAAUUUGAGCGCUGAUGUAGCUAAGACCUACUUCAUAGUCAAUUCAUUAGGGUUGUCACCUUCUAACAGGUCCCAUUUCUACAGCUUAUAGAAAGAAGUUCCCUAUCUUUCCGAGUUCAACUUCGCAAAGGAAGAGGGCGCACUAGUUCUUGUUUACUAUGGAUAGG